CCUAAGGUAGCGAAAUUCCUUGUCGGGUAAGUUCCGACCCGCACGAAAGGCGUAAUGAUUUGGGCACUGUCUCAACGAGAGACUCGGUGAAAUUUUAGUACCUGUGAAGAUGCAGGUUACCCGCGACAGGACGGAAAGACCCCAUGGAGCUUUACUGUAGUUUGAUAUUGAGUGUUUGUGUCACAUGUACAGGAUAGGUAGGAGCUGAAGAAUCCGGGACGCCAGUUUCGGAGGAGGCAACGGUGGGAUACUACCCUUGUGACAUGACCACUCUAACCCGCACCCCUUACCGGGGUGGGAGACAGUGUCAGACGGGCAGUUUGACUGGGGCGGUCGCCUCCUAAAAUGUAACGGAGGCGCCCAAAGGUUCCCUCAGAAUGGUUGGAAAUCAUUCGUAGAGUGUAAAGGCAGAAGGGAGCUUGACUGCGAGACCUACAAGUCGAGCAGGGACGAAAGUCGGGCUUAGUGAUCCGGUGGUUCCGUAUGGAAGGGCCAUCGCUCAACGGAUAAAAGCUACCCUGGGGAUAACAGGCUUAUCUCCCCCAAGAGUUCACAUCGACGGGGAGGUUUGGCACCUCGAUGUCGGCUCAUCGCAUCCUGGGGCUGAAGUCGGUCCCAAGGGUUGGGCUGUUCGCCCAUUAAAGCGGUACGCGAGCUGGGUUCAGAACGUCGUGAGACAGUUCGGUCCCUAUCCGUCGCGGGCGUUGGAAAUUUGAGAGGAGCUGUCCUUAGUACGAGAGGACCGGGAUGGACACACCGCUGGUGUACCAGUUGUUCUGCCAAGAGCAUCGCUGGGUAGCUAUGUGUGGACGGGAUAAACGCUGAAAGCAUCUAAGCGUGAAGCCCCCCUCGAGAUGAGAUUUCCCAUCAUUUUAAAUGAGUAAGACCCCUGAGAGACGAUCAGGUAGAUAGGCUAGAAGUGGAAGUGCCGCGAGGCAUGGAGCGGACUAGUACUAAUCGGUCGAGGACUUAACCAC
This 977-nucleotide ribosomal RNA is filed under the name human metagenome. Its description in RNAcentral is "bacterial LSU rRNA". It matches the Rfam family "Bacterial large subunit ribosomal RNA", at positions 1950 to 2925 of the family's 2925-position model. The record is from RNAcentral.